CCAGACGGUCGGACGGUCGCUGUCGCGUGGUUCUGCCAUGUGAUGGAGGAAAGUCCGGGCUCCACGGAAAAACGGUGCCGGCUAACGGCCGGCGGGGGCGACCCCAGGGACAGUGCCACAGAAAACAGACCGCCCUCACGGCGGUGUCCGUAGCAAUACGGGCAGUGUUGGGGGCAAGGGUGAAACGGUGCGGUAAGAGCGCACCGCAUCCAUGGUAACAUGGAUGGCAGGGUAAACCCCACCGGGAGCAAGACCGAAUAGGAACGGCGGAUGGGCCGCAAGGCGCCAUCGGGGGUUUUCCGCCCUGUCGUUCGGGUUGGUCGCGCAAGGUGUGUCGCAAGACUCAUCGCAGAGGAAUGACCGUCCCGCCCCUUCCGGGGCGGACAGAACCCGGCUUACAGACCGUCUGGUAUU
RNAcentral lists this RNase P RNA (414 nucleotides) under Komagataeibacter saccharivorans. Its description in RNAcentral is "Gluconacetobacter saccharivorans Bacterial RNase P class A". It matches the Rfam family "Bacterial RNase P class A". Rfam says of the family: Ribonuclease P (RNase P) is a ubiquitous endoribonuclease, found in archaea, bacteria and eukarya as well as chloroplasts and mitochondria. Its best characterised activity is the generation of mature 5'-ends of tRNAs by cleaving the 5'-leader elements of precursor-tRNAs. RNAcentral also lists the same sequence under 1 other name. Lineage: Bacteria; Pseudomonadati; Pseudomonadota; Alphaproteobacteria; Acetobacterales; Acetobacteraceae. The record is from Rfam by way of RNAcentral.